RNAcentral lists this ribosomal RNA (343 nucleotides) under uncultured Pseudomonadota bacterium. Its description in RNAcentral is "bacterial SSU rRNA". It matches the Rfam family "Bacterial small subunit ribosomal RNA", at positions 29 to 351 of the family's 1533-position model. The record is from RNAcentral. Lineage: Bacteria; Pseudomonadati; Pseudomonadota.
AAUGAACGCUGGCGGCGUGCUUAACACAUGCAAGUCGCACGAGAACGCUUCAGCUUGCUGGAGCUAGUAAAGUGGCGCACGGGUGAGUAACGCGUGGGUAAUCUACCUCCGAAUUGGGGAUAACACUGCGAAAGCGGUGCUAAUACCGAAUGACAUCUCCGAGACCUCGGUCUCAGGGAUCAAAGGUGGCCUCUACUUGUAAGCUACCACUUAAGGAUGGUCCCGCGUCCCAUUAGCUAGUUGGUAGGGUAAUGGCCUACCAAGGCUACGAUGGGUAGCUGGUCUGAGAGGAUGGUCAGCCACACUGGGACUGAGAUACGGCCCAGACUCCUACGGGUGGCAG